This 253-nucleotide ribosomal RNA is filed under the name uncultured bacterium. RNAcentral's name for it is "partial 16S ribosomal RNA". It matches the Rfam family "Bacterial small subunit ribosomal RNA", at positions 524 to 776 of the family's 1533-position model. The record is from RNAcentral.
UACAGAGGUCCCGAGCGUUGUUCGGAUUCAUUGGGCGUAAAGGGUGCGUAGGCGGCGGGGUAAGUUUGAUGUGAAAUCCCGGGGCUCAACCCUGGAAUUGCAUUGAAUACUACCUUGCUAGAGUACCGGAGAGGAAACUGGAAUUUACGGUGUAGCAGUGAAAUGCGUAGAGAUGUGGAGGAACACCAGUGGCGAAGGCGACUUUUUGGCCUGUAACUGACGCUGAGGCGCGAAAGCGUGGGGAGCAAACAGG